UUAUAUUAAAGCAUAGAGGACAUAUUUGUGUGUUAUGGAGAACAUUUCUACAAUUGCUAAUUUUCCUAAGAAUAAAAUCAAUAAAUGAGCUAAACAGUGUUUACAGAUCGUUCACGUAAGCUUGAGUUCCGGUGCUUUUGUUCCCUCUGAAGCUGCGACAGCUAUGCGCAUUAAAUAAUCGCCUGUACCAUGUGACCUCAUUCAAUGUUUGUAAACACGCGUCAAGCACAUGUGAUCCAGAAGUGUUUAGGAACGUGUAAAGCGCGGUGGCCAAUCAGUCGCCGGGGGAGUGUCUGGGGGCGGGGCUUGAAUAUUUCGCCCUGGAAAAAUCGAUAGGGAUCUUGUAAUGAUGCGAGGAGACUACGUCUAAAGAAAGGAAAGUGAGGAGUUAGGUCAGAACAAGUGAAGAGUGCAGGCAUCCGUGGAAUGCAGAUUAUUUAGAAGAAAUAUUAUAUUGGAAAGCAAUCGGUUUGAAUGUACCCACAGCCUCGAUAAAGAUGCCUUUCCCUUUAAGAGCUGGAUCAGCAUUGCACAAGCUGUCAGGUGCACAGAAGCAGCAAACCAAGAAUAAACUGAUGUUAGAGUGAAACAAGAAACUUGUAAACAAAUAUUCUCCCCUCCCUCUUGGUCACUCCCUGUACUUUUCUUUUGUAUUUAUUCUAUUGACUCAGGUCUACAGUAGCUAGGUCUAUACCUCUACUCUCGUAUAUACGCAGCAGUGGCAAGGAAAACAAAAACGAAACUAUGGAUCAGUACAAACUGUACUGACAGAAUGGGGUUUAAAUGUAUGCACUGUAGCAUAUUUAAUAUUUGCCUGUUUUGAACUGUGUUUUUCCAGUGCCAUCUCCUCUUGUGCUGCUCCUAGAAGCUGAAUUCAGAUGGUGCCAUAGAGUACUUUAUGGCAUCUAGCACCAUUUGAAAUCAGUGUUCUUGGGUCGGUCUUGACAUCACAUGGGACACCUAAAUGGUGUUGACUGCAGUGUUUGUGAUCAAUGUCUUUGCAUGUCUGAUUUGCACAAGUUUCAUGAAUGAAAUAAAACAAAUUUAUUCUUAUGC
This is a long non-coding RNA of Carassius auratus (goldfish), 1056 nucleotides long. RefSeq lists it as uncharacterized. Lineage: Eukaryota; Metazoa; Chordata; Actinopteri; Cypriniformes; Cyprinidae. The transcript is spliced from 2 exons. The record is from RefSeq and is a predicted model, not a curated record.